ACCAGGAUGGCCGAGUGGUUAAGGCGUUGGACUUAAGAUCCAAUGGAUGUAUAUCCACGUGGGUUCGAACCCCACUCCUGGUA
This 83-nucleotide transfer RNA is filed under the name Xenopus tropicalis (tropical clawed frog). RNAcentral describes it as "tRNA-Leu (TAA) (tRNA-Leu-TAA-9-1)". It matches the Rfam family "tRNA". Rfam says of the family: Transfer RNA (tRNA) molecules are approximately 80 nucleotides in length. RNAcentral also lists the same sequence under 2 other names. Lineage: Eukaryota; Metazoa; Chordata; Amphibia; Anura; Pipidae. The record is from RNAcentral.